UGGGGAAUUUUGGACAAUGGGCGCAAGCCUGAUCCAGCCAUGCCGCGUGAGUGAAGAAGGCCUUCGGGUUGUAAAGCUCUUUCGGCGGGGACGAAAUGGUUCGUGCCAAUACCACGGACUGAUGACGGUACCUGAAGAAGAAGCACCGGCUAACUACGUGCCAGCAGCCGCGGUAAUACGUAGGGUGCAGGCGUUAAUCGGAAUUACUGGGCGUAAAGCGUGCGCAGGCGGUUUGUUAAGACAGAUGUGAAAUCCCCGGGCUUAACCUGGGAACUGCGUUUGUAACUGGCAGACUGGAGUGUGGCAGAGGGGGGUGGAAUUCCAAGUGUAGCAGUGAAAUGCGUAGAUAUUUGGAGGAACACCGAUGGCGAAGGCAGCCCCCUGGGCUAACACUGACACUGAGGCACGAAAGCGUGGGGAGCAAACAGGAUUAGAUACCCAAGUAGUCCCUGAGCGGGCUGGCAAGGCGCAU
This 472-nucleotide ribosomal RNA is filed under the name uncultured bacterium. RNAcentral describes it as "bacterial SSU rRNA". It matches the Rfam family "Bacterial small subunit ribosomal RNA", at positions 355 to 825 of the family's 1533-position model. The record is from RNAcentral.